RNAcentral lists this long non-coding RNA (291 nucleotides) under Manihot esculenta (cassava). Its description in RNAcentral is "long non-coding RNA (MESC_LNC012829)". The record is from RNAcentral. Lineage: Eukaryota; Viridiplantae; Streptophyta; Magnoliopsida; Malpighiales; Euphorbiaceae.
CUGCUGGUUUGGAGGCUCUCCUUUUAUAGCUGAAGAAUUCCAUCCAUCUAGGGUUUCAAAAUCCCUUUUUGAUUUGGUGUUUGACUCAUCUUUUGAUGUUGAAUUUAAUUGCAAUUGGAAUUUCUUGGAUGAGAAGCUCUUUCGUGGCUCUUGGUUUUAUGUUGGUAGUGAUUGGGUUGGAAUUGGACUUCUGAAAAUUCGGAUUUCUGUUUUCUGCCCAAUUUCCCGCUCUUCUGUCAGUUUCUGCUGUCAAAGUGAUUUGUCCGGUGAUUUGAGUGUUUUGGGCAAAUC